Molecule: unclassified non-coding RNA, 153 nt
Organism: Chelonoidis abingdonii (Abingdon island giant tortoise)
Lineage: Eukaryota; Metazoa; Chordata; Testudines; Testudinidae
Source: Ensembl
UUGAAGAAUUAAGCCCUGGUCAUCACAGAAUGAGCACAGCCUGGGCAGCUGCAUAUCAAGUUCACCCACACUGCCACACCAAUAUGCCUCAACCCUUUCCUAAGGGAUCACCCCAGGGAGAGAGGGCACCCAGCUCUCUGUCUCUGUACCUGU